UACGAAGGGGGCUAGCGUUGCUCGGAAUUACUGGGCGUAAAGGGAGCGUAGGCGGAUAGUUAAGUCAGAGGUGAAAGCCCAGGGCUCAACCUUGGAAUUGCCUUUGAUACUGGCUAUCUUGAGUAUGGGAGAGGUAAGCGGAACUCCGAGUGUAGAGGUGAAAUUCGUAGAUAUUCGGAAGAACACCAGUGGCGAAGGCGGCUUACUGGCCCAUUACUGACGCUGAGGCUCGAAAGCGUGGGGAGCAACAGG
This 252-nucleotide ribosomal RNA is filed under the name uncultured bacterium. RNAcentral's name for it is "partial 16S ribosomal RNA". It matches the Rfam family "Bacterial small subunit ribosomal RNA", at positions 524 to 775 of the family's 1533-position model. The record is from RNAcentral.